This 497-nucleotide ribosomal RNA is filed under the name uncultured bacterium. RNAcentral's name for it is "partial 16S ribosomal RNA". It matches the Rfam family "Bacterial small subunit ribosomal RNA", at positions 28 to 507 of the family's 1533-position model. The record is from RNAcentral.
GAUGAACGCUGGCGGCGUGCCUAAUACAUGCAAGUCGAGCGAACGGACGAGAAGCUUGCUUUUCUGAUGUUAGCGGCAGACGGGUGAGUAACACGUGGAUAACCUACCUAUAAGACUGGGAUAACUUCGGGAAACCGGAGCUAAUACCGGAUAAUAUUUUGAACCGCAUGGUUCAUAAGUGAAAGACGGUCUUGCUGUCACUUAUAGAUGGAUCCGCGCUGCAUUAGCUAGUUGGUAAGGUAACGGCUUACCAAGGCAACGAUGCAUAGCCGACCUGAGAGGGUGAUCGGCCACACUGGAACUGAGACACGGUCCAGACUCCUACGGGAGGCAGCAGUAGGGAAUCUUCCGCAAUGGGCGAAAGCCUGACGGAGCAACGCCGCGUGAGUGAUGAAGGUCUUCGGAUCGUAAAACUCUGUUAUUAGGGAAGAACAUAUGUGUAAGUAACUGUGCACAUCUUGACGGUACCUAAUCAGAAAGCCACGGCUAACUACGUG